Molecule: long non-coding RNA, 235 nt
Filed under: Marmota monax (woodchuck)
Lineage: Eukaryota; Metazoa; Chordata; Mammalia; Rodentia; Sciuridae
Source: RNAcentral
CUCCUGCUUCAGCCUCCCAAGCCCCUGGAUUACAGGAGUGCACUGCUGCAAUAAGGUCCCCCGAGCUGGUCUUAAACUCCUGAGGUCAAGCCAUUCUUCUCCCUUAGCCUCCUGAGUACCUGAGUAGCUGAGACUCCAGUUCAUGAGCCAUUUUUUUUUUCUUUUUCUUUUUGGUAACUGGAAUUGAACUUAGGAGUUCUACCACCAAGCUACAUUUUCAGACCUUUGUUUUUUU